This 122-nucleotide ribosomal RNA is filed under the name Escherichia coli. RNAcentral describes it as "partial 16S ribosomal RNA". It matches the Rfam family "Bacterial small subunit ribosomal RNA", at positions 1 to 113 of the family's 1533-position model. The record is from RNAcentral. Lineage: Bacteria; Pseudomonadati; Pseudomonadota; Gammaproteobacteria; Enterobacterales; Enterobacteriaceae.
UUAAAUUGAAGAGUUUGAUCAUGGCUCAGAUUGAACGCUGGCGGCAGGCCUAACACAUGCAAGUCGAACGGUAACAGAAAGAAGCUUGCUUCUUUGCUGACGAGUGGCGGACGGGUGAGUAA